This 433-nucleotide ribosomal RNA is filed under the name uncultured bacterium. RNAcentral describes it as "partial 16S ribosomal RNA". It matches the Rfam family "Bacterial small subunit ribosomal RNA", at positions 29 to 507 of the family's 1533-position model. The record is from RNAcentral.
AACGAACGCUGGCGGCAUGCCUAACACAUGCAAGUCGAACGAGACCUUCGGGUCUAGUGGCGCACGGGUGCGUAACGCGUGGGAACCUGCCCUUAGGUUCGGAAUAACUCCCCGAAAGGGGUGCUAAUACCGGAUAAUGUCUUCGGACCAAAGAUUUAUCGCCUUUGGAUGGGCCCGCGUUGGAUUAGCUAGUUGGUAGGGUAAAAGCCUACCAAGGCGACGAUCCAUAGCUGGUCUGAGAGGAUGAUCAGCCACACUGGGACUGAGACACGGCCCAGACUCCUACGGGAGGCAGCAGUGGGGAAUAUUGGACAAUGGGCGAAAGCCUGAUCCAGCAAUGCCGCGUGAGUGAUGAAGGCGUUAGGGUUGUAAAGCUCUUUUACCCGGGAUGAUAAUGACAGUACCGUGAGAAUAAGCUCCGGCUAACUCCGUG